GACGAACGCUGGCGGCGUGCUUAACACAUGCAAGUCGAGCGGUAAGGCCCUUUCGGGGGCACACGAGCGGCGAACGGGUGAGUAACACGUGGGUGACCUGCCCUCAGCUCUGGGAUAAGCCUGGGAAACUGGGUCUAAUACUGGAUAUGACUCCACGGUGCAUGUCGUGGGGUGGAAAGCCUUGUGCGGCUGAGGAUGGGCCCGCGGCCUAUCAGCUUGUUGGUGGGGUGAUGGCCUACCAAGGCGACGACGGGUAGCCGGCCUGAGAGGGCGACCGGCCACACUGGGACUGAGACACGGCCCAGACUCCUACGGGAGGCAGCAGUAGGGAAUCUUGCACAAUGGACGAAAGUCUGAUGCAGCGACGCCGCG
Molecule: ribosomal RNA, 372 nt
Filed under: uncultured bacterium
Lineage: Bacteria
Description: bacterial SSU rRNA
Rfam family: Bacterial small subunit ribosomal RNA
Source: RNAcentral